GAUGAACGCUGGCGGCGUGCCUAAUACAUGCAAGUCGAGCGAAUGAAUUAAGAGCUUGCUCUUAUGAAGUUAGCGGCGGACGGGUGAGUAACACGUGGGUAACCUGCCCAUAAGACUGGGAUAACUCCGGGGAACCGGGGCUAAUACCGGAUAACAUUUUGAACCGCAUGGUUCGAAAUUGAAAGGCGGCUUCGGCUGUCACUUAUGGAUGGACCCGCGUCGCAUUAGCUAGUUGGUGAGGUAACGGCGCACCAAGGCAACGAUGCGUAGCCGCCCUGGGAGGGUGGUCGCCCACCCGGGGACUGAGACACGGCGCAGACUCGUACGGGAGGGAGCAGUAGGGAAUCUUCCGAAAUGGACGAAAGUCUGACGGAGCAACGCCGCGGGAGUGAUGAAGGCUUUCGGGUCGUAAAACUCUGUUGUUAGGGAAGAACAAGUGCUAGUUGAAUAAGCUGGCACCUUGACGGUACCUAACCAGAAAGCCACGGCUAACUACGUGCCAGCAGCCGCCGUAA
RNAcentral lists this ribosomal RNA (515 nucleotides) under uncultured bacterium. RNAcentral describes it as "partial 16S ribosomal RNA". It matches the Rfam family "Bacterial small subunit ribosomal RNA", at positions 28 to 523 of the family's 1533-position model. The record is from RNAcentral.